GAGGGUAUAGCUCAAGUGGUAGGGUGCAUGUUUGGUAUGCAUGGGGCCCUGGGUUCAAGCCCCAGGACCUCA
RNAcentral lists this transfer RNA (72 nucleotides) under Camelus bactrianus (Bactrian camel). It matches the Rfam family "tRNA". From Rfam's summary of the family: Transfer RNA (tRNA) molecules are approximately 80 nucleotides in length. Their secondary structure includes four short double-helical elements and three loops (D, anti-codon, and T loops). The record is from Rfam by way of RNAcentral. RNAcentral also lists the same sequence under 1 other name. Lineage: Eukaryota; Metazoa; Chordata; Mammalia; Artiodactyla; Camelidae.